GAUGAACGCUGGCGGCGUGCUUAACACAUGCAAGUCGAGCGGAGAUAUAUAACCGGAGAGCUUCGGCAGGAAGGAUAUAUAUUUUAGCGGCGGACGGGUGAGUAACGUGUGGGCAACCUGCCAUAUACUGGGGAAUAAUCAUUGGAAACGAUGACUAAUACCGCAUGUGGUCACGAGAUGGCAUCAUUUUGUGAAGAAAGGACUUCGGUUCGGUAUAUGAUGGGCCCGCAUCUGAUUAGCUAGUUGGUGAGAUAAUAGCUCACCAAGGCGACGAUCAGUAGCCGACCUGAGAGGGUGAUCGGCCACAUUGGGACUGAGACACGGCCCAAACUCCUACGGGAGGCAGCAGUGGGGAAUAUUGCACAAUGGGGGAAACCCUGAUGCAGCAACGCCGCGUGAAGGAAGAAGGUUUUCGGAUCGUAAACUUCUAUCAAUAGGGAAGAAAGAAAUGACGGUACCUAAAUAAGAAGCCCCGGCUAACUACGUGCCAGCCGCCGCCGUAAGAC
RNAcentral lists this ribosomal RNA (506 nucleotides) under uncultured bacterium. Its description in RNAcentral is "bacterial SSU rRNA". It matches the Rfam family "Bacterial small subunit ribosomal RNA", at positions 28 to 526 of the family's 1533-position model. The record is from RNAcentral.